Molecule: ribosomal RNA, 438 nt
Filed under: human gut metagenome
Description: bacterial LSU rRNA
Rfam family: Bacterial large subunit ribosomal RNA
Source: RNAcentral
CCCAAGAGUCCAUAUCGACGGGAUGGUUUGGCACCUCGAUGUCGGCUCGUCGCAUCCUGGGGCUGGAGCAGGUCCCAAGGGUUCGGCUGUUCGCCGAUUAAAGCGGCACGCGAGCUGGGUUCAGAACGUCGUGAGACAGUUUGGUCUCUAUCCUCUGCGCUCGUUGGAAUGCUGAGGAGGCCUGCCCAUAGUACGAGAGGACCUGGGUGGACGAACCUCUGGUAUGCCGGUUGUCACGCCAGUGGCACGGCCGGUUGGCUACGUUCGGAAGGGAUAACCGCUGAAAGCAUCUAAGCGGGAAGCCUGCUCCAAGAUAAGCAUUCCGUGGAACCUUCGAGUUCCUGUAGUCCCCAUGCAGAACACGUGGUCGAUAGGCCGGACGUGGAAGCCCCGCGAGGGGUGGAGCCGACCGGUACUAACGGGCGACGGCGACACAAC